GUCCCGGACAUGCAGCCUUUAUUUCUCUCCAAUUCGUGUCAGCAGGUGGGUGCAGGGCCCUGCCGAAACCACACUCCCAACUCCAGAACCUGAGAGAGGGGAGGGAGGAGGCCUUGGGGGGAAGGGCUCUGGAAGGGGGAGCCUAUUUGUCUGCAAGGCUGGCUGAAGGGGCUUUGGAUUCUGGGAACCAACACAAGGAUGUGAGUCUUGAUUCACAUAUAAAAUAAUCACUUUGUACACUCUCAGGGAGGGGUGAAGACACAUAGACACUGUUGUCUGCUACACCUAGCUAGUUUUUCCCAAAGGAGCAAAAGCGGAGUUACUCAAAAAACCCUGUCCAUUAAAUGUUAUCUUCUACCAUCUGACACAUUCGCACAGAAGUGCUCUGAGAUCCCCCAGCCCUGAGGGAGGGACAGCAAGUGCCUGGGUAAUUAUCCUUAGUGACAUCUUUCUGGCUCAUGGGUGUGUGAGUGGGAGGGAUGAACAAAGAGGGAGGCCGAGUCCAGGAAACUCAAUCACCCAGCCAUGCAGGGCCAGUCACACUCAGGAGGGCACAGUGCCUGGGCACCAGGGACAUGGACAGCAGAUCCCUCCUCUUGGCAGAUGAGGCAACGCUAAGCUACUUGCUUAGAAGAGGGAAACCUGAGCUGGGGAAGGAAGCCAAGCUGAGGCAGGUAGCCCAGUGUCUCCUGGGAAAGGGGGUCCUUGCCAGCUCCUCCUCCGGGUGCCCUGUGUCCUCCCUGACCCUUCAACCCGCCCAGGGCCUACACACAGAAACAGAAACAGGCUCUGGCUCGCAGGACUGGAGGGCUAAGUGGAGGGGCCUGUCAGCCUUUCCGUGUACAGCUAGGCCCAGAUGGCCCCUUGGGCUUCCCUCUCUGAGGCCAAGCACGAUCCAGACAAGGCACUAGGCAAGAGGUCAGACUCAGCCCAAAGGGCCCCAGGAGUCCUCCUCAUUGUGGAGGUCCUGGUCACCAAGUAAAAGCCCAGCCUCUAGCAAGGGAAGCAUCUCCAGGACGUGCUAGGGGUGCAUGGGGAAGGGGCCCUGAAUCUCCCAUUUGUGCCAGCCCUGGCUUCUUGGCAGCCCCAGGCAGAACUUCUCAGGAGAGUCCAAGAGACACAGACAGCGAGCGCCCUGCUCAGAUGGAAGUGGGGACAGGGACCCCGAGUCUGGGCCUGGGUGUGGCUGUCCUGGCCUCAGACAGGGCCCGGUGGGCAGGUGGGCAGGUGGGCAGGUGCAGUGUCAGGAGAGGGAAGUGGGGCCAAAGCUUGGGCACCAUCAGUCUGAGGUUGUUGCUGGAGACUCCGCUCGGUUCCCAGCAUUCACUUCUGGUCCUUUUUUUCUGGAAGACAAAUC
This 1357-nucleotide long non-coding RNA is filed under the name Heterocephalus glaber (naked mole-rat). RNAcentral's name for it is "lncRNA (ENSHGLG00000033524.1)". The record is from RNAcentral. Lineage: Eukaryota; Metazoa; Chordata; Mammalia; Rodentia; Bathyergidae.